UACGGGGGGAGCAAGCGUUGUUCGGAAUCACUGGGCGUAAAGGGAGUCUAGGCGGUUUGGUCAGUGGGGUGUGAAAUCCCCGGGCUCACCCCGGGACCUGCAUCCCAAACUGCUGAGCUUGAGUACAGGAGAGGGUGGGGGAAUUCCAGGUGUAGCGGUGAAAUGCGUAGAUAUCUGGAGGAACACCGGUGGCGAAGGCGCCCACCUGGCCUGCUACUGACGCUGAAGCUCGAAAGCUAGGGGAGCAAACGGG
This 253-nucleotide ribosomal RNA is filed under the name uncultured bacterium. RNAcentral describes it as "partial 16S ribosomal RNA". It matches the Rfam family "Bacterial small subunit ribosomal RNA", at positions 524 to 776 of the family's 1533-position model. The record is from RNAcentral.